CUACAUCAUGGGUUGUAGCAGAUGUUCUCAACGUUUCUAUUGGAACUUCUUUAUAUUCCCUUGAAAGAGGAGCCCCAGGGCCUCAUCCCUGUGGUAGCUACCAUGCUCUGAUAUAAGAUGUUGUUCAUCAGGGAGCUUUGGCAAGAGAGUUGGCCAGAUGAACAAGUUCAUCUCCAUUGUGGAAAAACAACUUGAAGCUCAUCUCUGUUGAAGGCCAGGUUUGAGGAAUAUGAAGAACAAGCUGGAGAAGAUGAAGAACAUAAUUCCAUUUGAUCAGAUGAUCAUUGAGGACCUGAAUGAAAUCCUCCCAGAAACCAAAUUAGACAAGAAGAAAUAUCCCUUUUGGCCUCACAAGCAAAUCAAAAAUCUAUAAACUUGAGUUGGGGAGAGAGCUCUGGCCUUGUAUUACAAACGCUGGACAUUAAAAAUAAUUAUAUGGUAAUAAAAAAAAAGCACCAUGUCCUUUAAUCUAGAAGUAGAAACUCUAG
Callorhinus ursinus (northern fur seal) is the source of this 488-nucleotide long non-coding RNA. RefSeq lists it as uncharacterized. The record is from RefSeq and is a predicted model, not a curated record. NCBI's taxonomy places the organism in Eukaryota, Metazoa, Chordata, Mammalia, Carnivora, Otariidae.